Molecule: ribosomal RNA, 445 nt
Filed under: uncultured bacterium
Lineage: Bacteria
Description: partial 16S ribosomal RNA
Rfam family: Bacterial small subunit ribosomal RNA
Source: RNAcentral
GUGAGGAAUAUUGGUCAAUGGGCGAGAGCCUGAACCAGCCAAGUCGCGUGAAGGAAGAAGGAUCUAUGGUUCGUAAACUUCUUUUGCAGGGGAAUAAAGUGCGGGACGUGUCCUGUUUUGUAUGUACCCUGAGAAUAAGGAUCGGCUAACUCCGUGCCAGCAGCCGCGGUAAUACGGAGGAUCCGAGCGUUAUCCGGAUUUAUUGGGUUUAAAGGGUGCGUAGGUGGUUUGAUAAGUCAGCGGUGAAAGUUUGUAGCUUAACUGUAAAAAUGCCGUUGAAACUGUCGGACUUGAGUGUAAAUGAGGUAGGCGGAAUGCGUGGUGUAGCGGUGAAAUGCAUAGAUAUCACGCAGAACUCCGAUUGCGAAGGCAGCUUACUAAGCUACAACUGACACUGAAGCACGAAAGCGUGGGGAUCAAACAGGAUUAGAAACCCGGGUAGUCC